This 668-nucleotide ribosomal RNA is filed under the name Lactiplantibacillus plantarum ST-III. RNAcentral describes it as "bacterial SSU rRNA". It matches the Rfam family "Bacterial small subunit ribosomal RNA", at positions 70 to 704 of the family's 1533-position model. The record is from RNAcentral. Lineage: Bacteria; Bacillati; Bacillota; Bacilli; Lactobacillales; Lactobacillaceae.
CUCUGGUAUUGAUUGGUGCUUGCAUCAUGAUUUACAUUUGAGUGAGUGGCGAACUGGUGAGUAACACGUGGGAAACCUGCCCAGAAGCGGGGGAUAACACCUGGAAACAGAUGCUAAUACCGCAUAACAACUUGGACCGCAUGGUCCGAGUUUGAAAGAUGGCUUCGGCUAUCACUUUUGGAUGGUCCCGCGGCGUAUUAGCUAGAUGGUGGGGUAACGGCUCACCAUGGCAAUGAUACGUAGCCGACCUGAGAGGGUAAUCGGCCACAUUGGGACUGAGACACGGCCCAAACUCCUACGGGAGGCAGCAGUAGGGAAUCUUCCACAAUGGACGAAAGUCUGAUGGAGCAACGCCGCGUGAGUGAAGAAGGGUUUCGGCUCGUAAAACUCUGUUGUUAAAGAAGAACAUAUCUGAGAGUAACUGUUCAGGUAUUGACGGUAUUUAACCAGAAAGCCACGGCUAACUACGUGCCAGCAGCCGCGGUAAUACGUAGGUGGCAAGCGUUGUCCGGAUUUAUUGGGCGUAAAGCGAGCGCAGGCGGUUUUUUAAGUCUGAUGUGAAAGCCUUCGGCUCAACCGAAGAAGUGCAUCGGAAACUGGGAAACUUGAGUGCAGAAGAGGACAGUGGAACUCCAUGUGUAGCGGUGAAAUGCGUAGAUAUAUGGAAG